This 244-nucleotide ribosomal RNA is filed under the name uncultured bacterium. Its description in RNAcentral is "partial 16S ribosomal RNA". It matches the Rfam family "Bacterial small subunit ribosomal RNA", at positions 80 to 339 of the family's 1533-position model. The record is from RNAcentral.
UCGGGGAUGUCCUUAGUGGCGCACGGGUGAGUAACGCGUGGGAAUCUGUCCAGGUGUGGGGAAUAACUACGGGAAACUGUAGCUAAUACCGCAUACGCCCUACGGGGGAAAGGCUUCGGCCGCAUUUGGAUGAGCCCGCGUAAGAUUAGCUUGUUGGUAAGGUAAUGGCUUACCAAGGCUACGAUCAGUAGCUGGUCUGAGAGGAUGAUCAGCCACACUGGGACUGAGACACGGCCCAGACUCC